Molecule: ribosomal RNA, 533 nt
Filed under: uncultured bacterium
Lineage: Bacteria
Description: bacterial SSU rRNA
Rfam family: Bacterial small subunit ribosomal RNA
Source: RNAcentral
UGGGCGCAAGCCUGAUCCAGCAAUGCCGCGUGUGUGAAGAAGGCCUUCGGGUUGUAAAGCACUUUUAUCAGGAGCGAAACGCUGUCGGCUAAUAACCGGCGGAACUGACGGUACCUGAGGAAUAAGCACCGGCUAACUUCGUGCCAGCAGCCGCGGUAAUACGAAGGGUGCAAGCGUUAAUCGGAAUUACUGGGCGUAAAGCGUGCGUAGGCGGUUAUUUAAGUCUGUUGUGAAAUCCCCGGGCUCAACCUGGGAAUGGCAAUGGAUACUGGAUAGCUAGAGUGUGAUAGAGGAUGGUGGAAUUCCCGGUGUAGCGGUGAAAUGCGUAGAGAUCGGGAGGAACAUCAGUGGCGAAGGCGGCCAUCUGGAUCAACACUGACGCUGAGGCACGAAAGCGUGGGGAGCAAACAGGAUUAGAUACCCUGGUAGUCCACGCCCUAAACGAUGCGAACUGGAUGUUGGUCUCAACUCGGAGAUCAGUGUCGAAGCUAACGCGUUAAGUUCGCCGCCUGGGGAGUACGGUCGCAAGACUG